Long non-coding RNA from Symphalangus syndactylus (siamang), 406 nucleotides. RefSeq lists it as uncharacterized. NCBI's taxonomy places the organism in Eukaryota, Metazoa, Chordata, Mammalia, Primates, Hylobatidae. The record is from RefSeq and is a predicted model, not a curated record.
UUGAAUUUGUUUUUAGUUUGCUUCAGAAGUCUUUCUAGUUUGAUCUAAGUUGGAUUUUAAAUUUUUCUAGGUGAAAUAUUGCUUCAGUAUACUGAUCCUAAGCAGGUAGAUGGCCGACCACGAAGAGAUACUUGGAGGAAGUGUGAGCCUAAUAUACCAUUCUAACUGUUCUAAAGAUUGACACUGUGAGUGGCUAUUUUCAUAUAUUUUGUGAGGCCACAUGGAUCCUAGAUCAUUGGGUAGUAGUAUAUGAGUUGUGAAAAAAACUUUUGUGGUCAAAUUGCUAUUUCCAGUUCCAUACCCAUGGUUUGAGUUGAUUAGGAGCAAUUACCAGCACAGAAUAUUCUUCACAGAGCUCCAGAGAACAUAAGGAAAGUAUUAGAGUCUGCUCUUGACUUCUUUUUCU